Apis cerana (Asiatic honeybee) is the source of this 3371-nucleotide long non-coding RNA. RefSeq lists it as uncharacterized. NCBI's taxonomy places the organism in Eukaryota, Metazoa, Arthropoda, Insecta, Hymenoptera, Apidae. The record is from RefSeq and is a predicted model, not a curated record.
CUUCCAAUACAUCAUGCAUCAUUUAGUUUAAACCUUCACGAGGCUUUCCAAAGUGAAUUCCACAAGGAAUCACUAUUCUCCAGACGGUUGAAGCAAUUUGCAACAACUUGAAAGCGUUUAGAAUAUGGUAGACGUGAGGAGAAGAGAGAAGGAGAAAGACAGCCAUAAAUUGACGUUCGUCCUUGCGAUGCAUGCAAGGAUACUCGUAAAGGCUCGAUUCCUACGAUCUUCGAGAGAGUUUCAGGUUGGCAACAAUGCCUCAAGGAGAGGGAGUGAGAGGAGCUUUUGUGCCGAGGAACCACUCGCGCCAAACAAAUCAACGGAAAUUGGGAUUUCUUUGAUGGGAAUCGAGCUUGAGGAUCGAUGCCUACCGAUCAUCAUUACUGGGAAACGAUUAUCAACGAGGUGUCUGAUAGCUUGACGCUUGAUAAAAAACUUCUGUAAAAUGGUAUUCGAGUUGGUGAAAGAAAGCGAGAUAGCGAUUAAGCGAAAUCGUGGUAAAAGAAGAAAGAGAGAGAAAGAGAGAGAGAGACUUUCGUGUUGUCGAGCAACGAAGAAAGAACGUUAAGUGUUACGAAUGAAAUAUAAUUCCAUCGACUUGGCUGUAAAACGUUGUCACUUUAAACUCGGAAAAUUGUAACGCUCCGGGGAAAUUAGAUUACGAGCAUAAAGGAAGGCAAUUUCUUUCGAGGAACGUUUAAUGAAAGUUACGUUUGAAAUUUAAAGAACCUAAGAGGAAAGUGUAAAUAUAAUACUGUGAAAAGUGUACGCCUUGCAGCAUAUCGCACAUUUUUUUUUUUUUUUUAAUCUCUUUUCGACAAAGAAUGGUGUGAUGGAUAAUUUCAAAAGAUCAUCGAACAAGCUUGAAAAUCCAUGGAAAGGAGCUUAAAAGUAUCGAUUUCCAUGUAAGCGAUUAACAGUCGCGACAACAACCGAGCACACGCAGAAGAGCUAAACGAAUUCUGGCCGCGGGAUUAAACUGGGCACAAACGCGGACACAUUCAAUUAUCCGUUGUGCAUCCGGAUACAAGACUGUGCUGGAGAUACGAGAACCACCCCCUCGAAUCCAGUUCUCGCGGCAUGGCCGCUCGAAAAGCGUAAAGACUAAGCGGAAAAGCGAGUCGACGUUUCCCUGGAAAUGUGCCGGCGUUAUCGUUUCCGUCCUCAUAACGUGCCACGGCGCCGCUUAUCGCGCUUUAUCAGCAACGAUCCGUUGGAAAGCUACGCGAGCACUUUCCACCCUAUCAUCUCUCUCCUUCGUUCACUCACCCCCGUUUUCCCUUUCCUUUUAUUUUCCAUUUCCUCUCUCCUUUUUCCUUUUCCUCUUUUUCGAUUCGUAUUUCCGUUCCCUCCUUCCUUUAAAUAUCGUUUUUAGUAUUUGAAAUAUCAUACAACACUUUCCUAUAGGAAUUUUUCCUUUGAGAAUUUUGUUAUUUAAUCGACAGCGAUUAUUAUAAUUUAAGUAGAUGGAAUUAAAACUACAAUUGUGUAGUGAUUCGCUUUUAAACGAUCACCCAUUCAAAUAAUAACUGUGACAAUAUUUGUGAUCAAAUGAGAAUCAUGGUUCGUAUGUUGCAAAGAUUAUAUAAUAAGAUUAUAAUAGUUAAUGAUUUAUUUACUAUUACAAGUAAACAUAUCGUGUCAAAUAUUUGUCAUUGCAUUUGGUACCUCUUCUGGAACGUUUAUUGCUUUUAAAGUGUUUAUGCUUGAGUAGAUUACAUCUUUGAAACUUUUACAACGAAAUUUUGAGUUUGUAAACAUAAAUACAUUUUUGUUCUUCAUAGAAAAUGAUAGGAAUUUAUCGUGUAUAUUGUUUUUAGAUAUAAUAUGUUUAUAAAAAUCUUGAUAUUAUGACAUUUAAUCUUGAUUCUUGAUAUAAACAUUCUACCUUAUCGACAAUACUCUACGCCAAUCUUUACCAAUGCUAUUCGGCUCUUUUCGACAAUAUUCGUUGAAACUCGGUCGACGAUCAACUUUCAACUUAAAAUCAGUUUUGUAGUCGCUUCAAGCGAGUAAGUACAAUUUUUCUUUCUUCUUUUUUACGCGGAAAGAAAGAACUUUUUAAAACUCGAUGCAUACUAAGGUUAUAGCGUUCAAUAUGCAAAAAAUAUUCUGAACAGAACAACAAAUGUUUGUCUCAGUUUCUUCGGAAUAAAUUGCGAGUACGAUAUCAAAUUUGUCUCGCUUUAAAAUAAUUUAUGACCCGCGUUCUUUAAUCAGCAAACUCUGUCCAAGUAUUUUUUCUCUAAAUCGCGUGCAAACGGAGCUUGGGCAAUUUUCCUUGUCGUUUCGACCUCCUUUCUCGUUGUUUCACCCCUGUAAAGAAACAAUACAGGGAGGGAGAACGAGGUGGGUGUAUUUAAAGGCGAACAGCGAAGAAAUGGUUAGGACCACGCGAAAGAAAUAUGGCGAAAGGACAGAGAAGAAGAGAAAGAAAUUGUACUUUGGAAAUACUUGGUAAUCUCUGACAAUGUUAGAGAAUAAUUUGUCUUAUAUUUUAUUUUUUAUCGUUGAAUUGGAACUAUGGAUGUCGUGAAAUUGGAUUAACUUGGAUUUAAAACGAGCCAGAAUUAGAAUUUCUUGAAUGGAUGAAAAAAUAAUGAAAUUUGAACAAGAUCAUCUUUUAUCCUCGGUUAAGAUGGAAAAUUCCAUUGAGAAAAAAAAUAAAUUAUGCAAGAUUUGCGAACGAAUGGUUUCUCGUGGUAAGGUUUAUGCUCGAUAAUCGAGUCUAUUAAAUUGCAGAAACUACUCAGGAUCCGUCUAUACACUGACGACAGCAAGAAGUUGGCGAGGAUUCGAUUAAAAUUCAAACAAAGAGACGAGUUCAUCCUCGAUUCAAUUACAACUUUCUCCGAACGAAGAUGUUGAAGAACACGUAAGAAACUUAAGAAAAAAAAAUUUUAUUCGUAUCUUGAAGAUCUCCAUAGAGUUCGAUUAAUAUUCAGUUGACGGCGUAAAUAAGCUGAUGUGCAAGGAGAAAAGCCUCGAAAAUAUUCGUUCAAAAUUCGUAUUGGUUUCUCGACUUUUCAAACUCAGAGAUUUAAUUGAUUAUCAUUUAAAAAUUAGAAAUGCGUAAUGAUGUCUUGUCAACAUUUCAAAAAUAAAAUGGAGAAAAUUUUGAUAAACUCUAAAAAAAUUAAAAAAUACACUAAAUUUUUUAAUCGUUAAUCUUUUAAUCGAGAAUGACAAAUUAAUUUUUCAUGAUAUUUUAAAGGCGAAAUUAAUUUUUUAAGCAAAAUAUUUUUGCUUAAAAUACUUUUUUAUUUAUAGAAAAAUACUUUUUAAGAUUUGAUGUAUUUAAUAAUACAAAUUUAUGUAUUAUGUAUUCAUGAUAAUAUGAAUUUAUGUAUUUAUUGUGAAUAAAAUUAGAA